UCCAGAGGGGGCAAGCGUUAUUCGGAAUUAUUGGGCGUAAAGGGCGCGUAGGCGGCUUGGCAAGUGGAAGGUGAAAUCCCUCGGCUUAACCGAGGAACUGCCCUCCAAACUGCUUCGCUUGAGACCGGGAGAGGUGAGUGGAAUUCCCAGUGUAGCGGUGAAAUGCGUAGAUAUUGGGAGGAACACCAGGGGCGAAGGCGGCUCACUGGACCGGUACUGACGCUGAUGCGCGAAAGCGUGGGGAGCAAACGGG
This 253-nucleotide ribosomal RNA is filed under the name uncultured bacterium. RNAcentral describes it as "partial 16S ribosomal RNA". It matches the Rfam family "Bacterial small subunit ribosomal RNA", at positions 524 to 776 of the family's 1533-position model. The record is from RNAcentral.